AGAGAGAGACAUGCGCGCAUAUCAAUAAGCGGAGGAAAAGAAACUAACAAGGAUUCCCUUAGUAACGGCGAGUGAAGCGGGAAGAGCUCAAAUUUGAAAUCUUCAAGGUUUUACCUUGACGAAUUGUAGUUUAAAGAAGUGUUUUCUGCUGAAGUUUUGGUAAAAGGUUCUUUGGAAUAGGACAUCAUAGAGGGUGAGGAAUCCCGUAUUUGACCAUUAUUUUCAGCUUUGUGAUACACUUUCAAAGAGUCGGAUUGUUUAGGAAUGCAGUCCAAAAUGGGUGGUAAAUUUCAUCUAAAGCUAAAUAUUGGCGAGAGACCGAUAGCGAACAAGUACCGUGAGGGAAAGAUGAAAAGAACUUUGAAAAGAGAGUUAAACAGUACGUGAAAUUGUCAAAAGGGAAGCGUUUGACACCAGUGUUGUUUUCUCGAAAAUCAAUUAAAAAUGGCUCGAUUUUGUAUUGCUUGAGACCUUAAAAGCUCACUGUACAUUUUUCGUGUCUUUUUUAAUGCACUUUUCGUUUAACAAGUCAACAUCAGUUUCUUUUGUUGUAAAAGGGUCAUUGGAAGGUGGCUUUCUUUUCGGAGAAAGUGUUUAUAGCCUUUGGCCUCUGCAAUCGGAAGAGACUGAGGUCUGCAGCGUAGACUCUUCGGGGUUAGAUACAUUUGUGCUAAGUUAUAGCUUUUUAUAGACAACUUGUUGACUAUAAUUAGUCUUGUAGCUUACUCGCUUAUGCUAUUUUACCUACGCUUAGGAUGUUGAAGAUGUAGCACAUCAU
RNAcentral lists this ribosomal RNA (778 nucleotides) under uncultured Neocallimastigales. RNAcentral's name for it is "partial large subunit ribosomal RNA". It matches the Rfam family "Eukaryotic large subunit ribosomal RNA", at positions 23 to 620 of the family's 3401-position model. Lineage: Eukaryota; Fungi; Neocallimastigomycota; Neocallimastigomycetes; Neocallimastigales. The record is from RNAcentral.